GAUAAACGCUGGCGGCGCACAUAAGACAUGCAAGUCGAACGGACUUAAUCUUAAUAUUUAUAUUGAGAAGCGGUUAGUGGCGGACUGGUGAGUAACACGUAAGCAAUCUGCCUAUUAGAGGGGAAUAACAAUGAGAAAUCAUUGCUAAUACCGCAUAUGCCAUUAGUAUCGCAUGAUAUAGAUGGGAAAGGAGAAAUCCGCUAAUAGAUGAGCUUGCGCCUGAUUAGCUAGUUGGUGUGGUAAAGGCAUACCAAGGCAACGAUCAGUAGCCGGACUGAGAGGUUGAACGGCCACAUUGGGACUGAGAUACGGCCCAGACUCCUACGGGAGGCAGCAGUCGGGAAUAUUGCACAAUGGAGGGAACUCUGAUGCAGUGACGCCGCGUAUAGGAAGAAGGUCUUCGGAUUGUAAACUAUUGUCGUUAGGGAAGAAACAAGACAGUACCUAAGGAGGAAGCUCCGGCUAACUACGUGCCAGCAGCCGCCGUAAAAC
RNAcentral lists this ribosomal RNA (492 nucleotides) under uncultured bacterium. RNAcentral's name for it is "bacterial SSU rRNA". It matches the Rfam family "Bacterial small subunit ribosomal RNA", at positions 28 to 526 of the family's 1533-position model. The record is from RNAcentral.